AGUGAACGCUGGCGGCAGGCCUAACACAUGCAAGUCGAACGGCAGCGCGGGGGCAACCCUGGCGGCGAGCGGCGGACGGGUGAGGAAUUCGUCGGAAUCUGCCUUUUUGUGGGGGAUAACGUAGGGAAACUUACGCUAAUACCGCAUACGUCCUACGGGAGAAAGUGGGGGACCGCAAGGCCUCACGCAGAAAGAUGAGCCGACGACCGAUUAGCUAGUUGGUGGGGUAAAGGCCCACCAAGGCGACGAUCGGUAGCUGGUCUGAGAGGAUGAUCAGCCACACUGGGACUGAGACACGGCCCAGACUCCUACGGGAGGCAGCAGUGGGGAAUAUUGGACAAUGGGCGCAAGCCUGAUCCAGCCAUGCCGCGUGUGUGAAGAAGGCCUUCGGGUUGUAAAGCACUUUUGUCCGGAAAGAAAUCCCUGGAGCUAAUACCUUCGGGGGAUGACGGUACCGGAAGAAUAAGCACCGGCUAACUUCGUG
This 484-nucleotide ribosomal RNA is filed under the name uncultured bacterium. RNAcentral describes it as "partial 16S ribosomal RNA". It matches the Rfam family "Bacterial small subunit ribosomal RNA", at positions 29 to 507 of the family's 1533-position model. The record is from RNAcentral.